This is a long non-coding RNA of Clupea harengus (Atlantic herring), 4334 nucleotides long. RefSeq lists it as uncharacterized. Lineage: Eukaryota; Metazoa; Chordata; Actinopteri; Clupeiformes; Clupeidae. The record is from RefSeq and is a predicted model, not a curated record. The transcript is spliced from 3 exons.
GAGAGGUGGGGGGAGGGAGGGAGAGAGAGAUCAAGCCCUGCGCAUUCGAUUUUCCCGUAUUGACUGCGAUGUUUAGCGUAUAGAUUUUUCUAUUUAAAAAAUCUAUGUCGGCAAUGAUCUUGAGUGUAAGUGCGUGGUGCAGAUUGUGGCUUUAUAACGGACAGCGUAGCUACAAUGUAUUGGUGGCAAGAUGGGGGAAUGGGAGGAGGUGUAUACACGAGGAUGAAUCCUGGUGGUCUGCGUAUUGUGGGAUACACACUAAUUUUGCUCGGGUCCUCUCGGCAAAACUUGUUUCACAUACACUGUUUGCAGACAUGAGAGCUCGGGGGUUGUCAAUACAAGGCAGUGUUCCAGCUCCGAUUUUGAGCGAUUUUCCAUUCCCAGUCUCACCACACAUAGAGCUGAUUUGUCUGCCUUGCUUAGAAAUGUGCUCUCCCUUGAAAAUAUGGUAUAAAUAAUCACCUGCUUGUAAAACACGUUUAAAAUACUCCCCAAGCGCGUUCCUAUUGUGUAAGCCCAUUGAUUACCCGACCACCGCAAUUAUCGGUCAUUAGAAUGAGGCGUAAUCAAGAGAUCAAUACAGAGGAUAGCUCGCCUUAUAUAGGAUUAGUAAAAAAGGGAGAGGGGGUGUAGGUGUGGGGGAGUGGGGAGAGAAAGGGGGUGGAGGGAGAGUAGCGGCUGGUCCUCUCGCCUCAAUGUUGCAGGCAGCGAUGCCAGAGCGCUUUCAUACUGGUGGGAGUCGGACCAAGCGACCGGGGUUCCCAAAUCACGGGAACAUAGAGACAGACACACAGACGGAUGGCGGGAUAUAUCCAAAGAACAGACACCACGUAACGGGUACCGUGUUUACUCUUUUACUUUGUACACCCAGAGCGUGAUUUUAAAACAUCAGACUUAUUUAUUUAUUUAUUUCACUAUCGAUUGAUUGCGUUUAAUUAUACCGGCCUGUGACAAGGAGCGAGGGGGGAGGAGCGUACCCGACGAGGUCCUUGCGUAGCCUUACUUAUUAUUUGAUUAUUUAAAUGCAUUCAAAUACUAUUUAAUUAUAUAUUUAUGUUCUUUUAAAAUGCUUCUUUGUGUGUGUGUAUGCGUAAAUAGAUCCACAUUAAGACAGCUACAAACCAAAUAGUCGAACCAAAUACAAAAAACCUUUGAGUUGCUGCCUGUGUCUUUUGUAUCCUACCGGUACCUGAUUGCUUACGUGAUAUUGAAAAUGUUUUUUAGUGAGAGUAAAUAUUGAUUACACUUAGAUGUAUUUACAAGCAGAAACCAAAGGAAAAAACUGUUGAGACAGAUAAGGCCACUGUGACGUUUAGUCCACAGUCUGCACACCUGUCUCCAUUAAGAUAGCAGGAAGGUGGAUAGGAAUCAAAGUGAAUGUCAAACACAAAUAGACUAGACUAUACAUAGAAAACAAGUGAUAAGACGCCUGGUCACAAGUCGAGACUAUUUCAAUAAUAUCUGAGAAUUUCGCAAAGCUUUAAAGACGGGAGGGAUCGCUACCGUUCUUACUCUCUGAACUAAGUUACUCCGAUUGCUUUAAGUAGCCUUGACUUGUACUGAAAAUACAGUUGUAUGCCUACUAUUAUAACCGAGAGCCUAUAGCUAGAUCCUUUCUAUCCGUCUGUGUGUACGUCUAGCGUGUCAACGGUUGUCUUAAAAUACAAGGGACAGCUGCUGUUACUUAUAAAGGCACAAAACCAAAAAUGUAAAGACAGCAGGCUAACUACAGGCCUACAUACACAUAUAAACCAAAUAUUCAACGCCUCACAAGACACACCUCAAACACAGUUCACCCGGAAAGCAUUCAAGAGAGAAUAAGGAAGAACCGAAGACGAAACACAUCAAAACUCCCAACUACAACCCGACGACAGCGGAUCAUGUUUGUCCCCCUGCCGGUGCCGUUCGUCUUUCAGAGAACCGCGUCCGACUUCAGCGCUUGGCGUCUCAAGUCUCCGCUGGCCCUUCGUUCCAACUCUGAUAUCAGGAUGUCUAAACCAGUUGAAGACGAGAAGCCUGGGGCUGACUUCCCAGUUGAGAGCACAGACUCAGACGGAAGCAGUCCAGAAGCAAGUGAUCAGGUGAGCGAUCCAUUUAAAUGUUCCGCUGAAAAGCAUGUACGCUUGUGAUUGAGCUCCCACUCCUCCAACUGAGAUUUUUUUAAAUCAUUUUAUGUGAAGGAAUAUGUCUAGUUAAGGAAACCACUCUACUGACAGAUCAAACCUUUAUCUCACAAAAGUUUAUUUAUAGAUGUAGAACACAGCAUAAAAAUGCAGCUAGUAACAUUUGAUUUGAUCUAAUACAAUUGUAAUAUUAUCACUUACUACUGAACAAUAACUGUUAAGUUACAAAUAGGGAGUAUCACGGAGAUAAUUUCUGUCAAAAUUGUGAGGGACUGUUGUCUACAUUAGACAGAAGAUUAGCCAAUGAUCAGACCCGUAGCUACACACAAACUAUAAAAUAUAAUAAUGCUGACAUCUGCAGCUCUACAUUUAUUUUGUUAAAUAUAUUAAACAUUUAUUUUGUGAGGCAUAUGCAGGCUUGUUGUAUUUAUUUGUUUUUAAUUUCCCUCUCAUGGACAUAUUAGCAUAGGUCGUAAAUAAAUAAGCUGGGAUAUCUCACACUUUUUUGACAGAAAGUAUUUGUGCUUUAAAUUACCUAGAGAAAUGUGGUAUAUUUAUGCAUUUUGCCUAUCAGAAGACACUGACUGAGCAGUGAUAUUAAAUCUCAUAGUUCAGCUGUAUCCGUAAGUUAAAUGUGGUCCAGUCAGAUUUGCAGAGCAAGAGUUGCACAGCAGACUAUGAAGAGAUGUUUAAAAUCACUGAGCAGAGGGGUGUGGAGUGAUGACUGAACGUUUCAAGAAUGAAUGUGGGAACAGGUUUUUCCAAACCGCUAUGACCUUGUUCACAUGUCAGUGCUGCCGAAGAAGAGCAAAAGGAAACCGGGGGGGGUUAUCUGCUCAUAAACACAAUUUUUUUUUUUUUUUUAAUGCGACCCUAGGGCAACUCCAGAACCCCUUCCAAGGCGGUGAUUUGUAGACAGCCUUUUAGAUAUUUAGCCCUGAAUAAACCUUAGAAAUAAUUUUUAAUGUGUCUUGUUUAAAAAAAUAAAAAUAAAAAAGCCCUCUUUGUAAGUUCACUUCAAACAAAAUUAAUCUCUACUUUGUGCCCAGUGUUAUUGUGGCUCAUUGUAGACUUUCAGUGGUUACCAUAGAGACAUUGCGUUAUCAUUAUGUUUCGCCCUCACAGGCCCGGUCAAUGAAAACAAGCCCGUUCUGCCUGUCUCCCAACCUAAGCAACACCAAGGUAAGCAACACUCUACUGUAUGUGUGGGGAUGGUUUGGUGUGUGUUUUGGAGAGGGGAUUUUCAGUGUGAAAUGAGUACAGGGUUGUAUCGUAUGUUCAGUACACAUAAUUUAAAUGUGUUUUUGAGUAAUAAUUCAGUAAAUGUGUGUAUGUAUACAGUAUAUGCGUGUGUGUUGAUAUGUGUAUGAUUGUGUGUGUGUGUGUUCACAUAUAUGGAUAAUGUUUGUAAAGUUUACGAGUGUGUGUGUGUGUGUCUGCUAGAUGUGUGUAUUCCAGUUUACUUCAUGUCUGGUUUUAAAACAACCAGGGAAAACCUUAAACAAAAUACAUUUCAAACUAGAAGGCCACUCAGAGACCUUCACCAACAUCUCGUAAUGUUAAAGAAAGUUUUUAACAAAAUACAGAUCCGCUCCAAAAUGUAAGUUGCAUAAUCCCGCUAAGGUGAACCACAUAACCUCAUUGACAGAAGGAAUAAGAUCUCGUUAAAAUCCCUAAUAAGGCAUGUAUGCACCUGUGCUGGUGGGAACAUCUCUCUCUAUCAGUCUGGUUUGCACAACAGCAGAGUAAUAUGCAAAUCCUGCUUUGCGCUCCCGCAAUUCUAAGGAAUGUAUUACGUAAGACAUCAACACAGUCCCGACACGUGAGCACAAAUCAAACAAACAUGUAGUAGGCAGCAGCAUUCCACGUGGUGGAAAAAUGUGUGUCUGUAUUCCUCUAGAGAGGAACAGAGGUAGAGGAGCAUGGGUAUAUAAACAGAGUGAUUUGACACAGAGAGAGAGUGUCACGGAACGGACUGACACAGAGAUUGAGGUCCGGGCUCUGACGUGACAGAGAGAGAGACACAGAUAGAAAGACAGAAAGAAAAGGACACAACCAGCCUUAGGGGGGAAAAAACAGAAAGGACUUAAAGACUUAGAGAAUUAGACAGUGAGAGGACUGUGAGGAGAAAGCGAGAGCCAAAUGAGGGGGAAAGGGAGGAUGGAUGGAAACAAGGAGCUGACAGAUGUGUAUGUCAGCGGACUGAGCCAG